CUUAGCUAUCACUCUUUGAGGGAUGAAGGCCUGCACCAUAACAAGCAAUAAUACAUCCAGAUGUUAAUCUCAAUAAUCUAACCAGGGCUCGUGGACCCCUUGGAUCUAUCUGCAAAGGAGAUGAAGAGCCUACUUGACUUUUGAGGUUGCUUGGUCCUAUCUAAACAGAAAGCCAAUGCCCUUCUAACAUCUAGUGCAUGAAAACAGGACUCCUGCAGAGAACUAUGUGGCUUUGUAACAGAUACUGGUAGAUGAAUGGAUUGGUUAAGGUGGAAUUCCAACAGAACCUUGGGUGUGUCCAACUGGAGAAUAAGUUAUGAGCCAACUCUGAAGGCAGUGGAGAUGUUCCCUCCUCGCGUGAUCAGUCAGAAAGGUGCAAGCUGCCAUAUGCCCCAGAAACCAAAGACAAAGUUCCUUAUUGUGGUUCAAGGGUUCCCCUGAAUUGCCCACACCAGACCUGACACCUUUACAAAUCUGUCUAAGGGAAGCUAAUGACCCCAUUCUGCUCCUGGAACAGAGCAAGGGCUGCCUGGGUGGAAGAUAGCACUGCUUUGUAGGAGCAACCCUUGACUAACCAGUCAUUGAAGUACAGGAAAACUAGAGUCACUUCAUGUCGGAGGUGUAUAGUAGCCUUAGAGUUCUUCAGUGUGUGUAAGAACUCAUCAUGGUCUCAGAGAAAAGCUUAUGGCUGUCGAAGGGGAGAUCCUCAACAAUGUUCUGUACUUCUCUUGGAAACCUCAAGAUUUGGAGCCAUGAUGCCAUGUCCAUCACUACCACUGUGGAGAUGGACUUGGCAGCCAUGUCUGCAGCAUCCAAGGAUGCUUGAAGACCAGUAAUUGGCACCUUCAAAUGGUGGACUGGAAAUGCUCCCUACGUUCUUGUGGGAGAUAGUCAAUACAGGCUGUAAAUCUAUGGUAGUUUGUAAAAUUAUAUUUGGCCAUGACCACCUGAUAGUUCGCAAUCAUGAACUACAGUAUUACUGAUGAAUAGGACUUCCAUCCAAAGAGAUCCAGUCAUAUUUGUCAUAUGGGGGUAGAAUUGGAGAAGUGUUGCCUACCCCGCAUCCACGUUCAUUUACCGCACCCGCCACCAAAGAGCUAGGAGGAGUGGGGAGAACAAAAAAAAAACCACCAGAAUCCCGGGGAGUGUGUGUGGGUGGGGAAGAGACAGACUACUUCUUAUCCACCCACUCACACAUUAGCAGAAUGGUGGCAGGUGUUUGACACAGUCUUAGCUGGACCCUCAUUAAUGGGUAAUGCCACUCUGGAGGAUGUUGCUGAUUGCAGGAUAUCCAACUGUUUGUGCUGAGAGUCCUUGACCUCUGAGUGGAAUCUGAAGAGUGUCAGCUAUCCUCUUUAUGAGGUCUUGAAAUUACUGAAACUUGUCAGCCAUGGAAGUGGCAGAGGCAUAACCUCCUCAUCUGAAGAUUGUGACGUUAUUGACAUGAACUGAGACCAUAUAGAUCAUCGUUGCAACCAAAGUCCUUAGUGGCACCAAAUCUUUUAUAAGAGGGGGUCAAAUAAGGUGUCUAAGA
This is a long non-coding RNA of Dermochelys coriacea (leatherback sea turtle), 1534 nucleotides long. RefSeq lists it as uncharacterized. The record is from RefSeq and is a predicted model, not a curated record. The transcript is spliced from 4 exons. Lineage: Eukaryota; Metazoa; Chordata; Testudines; Dermochelyidae.